UACGAAGGACCCGAGCGUUAUCCGGAUUUAUUGGGUUUAAAGGGUGCGUAGGCGUCCUGGAAAGUUACGGUUGAAAUCUCCUUGCUUAACAAGGAAACUGGCCGUAAAACUAUCAGGAUUGAGUACAUUUGAAGCGGGCGGAAUGUGUCAUGUAGCGGUGAAAUGCUUAGAUAUGACACAGAACACCAAUUGCGAAGGCAGCUCACUACGCGAAUAUUGACACUGAGGCACGAAAGCGUGGGGAUCAAACAGG
This 253-nucleotide ribosomal RNA is filed under the name uncultured bacterium. Its description in RNAcentral is "partial 16S ribosomal RNA". It matches the Rfam family "Bacterial small subunit ribosomal RNA", at positions 524 to 776 of the family's 1533-position model. The record is from RNAcentral.